Long non-coding RNA from Artibeus jamaicensis (Jamaican fruit-eating bat), 1396 nucleotides. RefSeq lists it as uncharacterized. Lineage: Eukaryota; Metazoa; Chordata; Mammalia; Chiroptera; Phyllostomidae. The transcript has 3 exons. The record is from RefSeq and is a predicted model, not a curated record.
CCUAAGAACCAUCCGGCCCCUUGGGGAAGACGCUGCUGGGGAGGGUGGAGGGGCCGGGCACCCAGGCACAGCGACCACAGCGCACCUCUCGCCACCUCCCCAGGGAUCUGCCGAGUGUGCAGGUGGGACCAGGGCGCCUGCCUGGCAUCCGCCAGAGACUUCUGAACUUCAGAAUGAAGGGGCCCUGGAGUCGGGGCCUCACCAGCCAUCCAGCUCCUUCACCACGCAGUCGACUGAGGCCCAGACCACAGUGGCACAGCUUACAAUCAAGAGACAAACAACGCAAUUAAAAAAUGGACAAAGGAGCCCCUCUUGGGUCCUUGCUUCCAAGAUGACCAAGAAAAGGAAUGAUGCUCAUGCCAAAAAAAGGCCGCAGCCCAGCCCAUUCACUGCGCAGCUACAACCAACUCAUGCCCAAGGGCAAGGCCAUGGCGAUGUUGCUUGAAACACAGUAGAGGCUGCAGCCGUUAGGUAUGUUUCCGAAGUGAGUGUCUUUGAGGCUGAUGUGCUUCCCCAACUGGACCAAAACCAAGCCACUGUGUGAGGUGUGCCAUCCACAGCAACGGAGUCAGUAACCGUUGCCAUGAGGCCUGGGGGGACCCAACACCCCCACCCCAGUGCAGACCUGCGGUGCGGUCCCACAACCUCCACCAAAGCCCACAUGAAGAGCUGCGUCCUUAAGGACUGAAGAAAAGUCUUCUGGGAAAAAAUAAAAUGGAAACUAUACUUUAAAAAAAAACACCCCAAAACAAAAAUGGGCAAAGGAUUUGAAUAGACAUUUCUCCAUACAAGACAAAUGGCCAAUAAGCACAUGAAAAUAUGUUCAACAUCAUCCUUAGCCAAAAAGGAAAUGCAGAUCAAAACUGCAGCGAGAUGCCACUUCUCACCCACUGGGGUGGCUAUAAUCAAAGACCAUCGGUAACCAGUGCGGGAGAGGAUGUGGGGAAAUCUGAGCCCUGGCGCACUGCCGGUGUGAGCGCACAGUGGGUGGUGCAGCCACUCUGGAGGAGGGUCUGGCUGUUCCUCAAAGGGUUAAGCACAAAGAUGUCAGACACCCACCUGUUCCACACCUGGCUGCAUACCAAGACAAUGGAAAAUGUAUGUUUACACAAAAAAAUUGCAUGCAAAUGUUCGUAGCAGUGUUUAUUUGCAAUAGCCCUAAAGUGGGAGCAACCCAAAUGUCCAGCAACAGAAAAUGGAUUAAAAAAUAGUGGUCUAGCUCAGACUGGUGUGGCUCAGUGGGUUCGGUGACCUCCUGCAAAGCGAGGGGUCACUGACUGGAUUCCCGGUCAGGGCACACGCCCAGGUUUCUGGCUGGGUCCUUGGUUGGGGGCUCACAAGAGGCAACCGAUUGAUGUUUCUCUGGUGCAUCCCUAUUUCUCUCUCUCUCCCUCUC